Vespa mandarinia (Asian giant hornet) is the source of this 3649-nucleotide unclassified non-coding RNA. NCBI's taxonomy places the organism in Eukaryota, Metazoa, Arthropoda, Insecta, Hymenoptera, Vespidae. The record is from RefSeq and is a predicted model, not a curated record.
AGCAUUCAUUGAAAUUAAUUAUAUGCCGCGUCGAUGCUGCAUCCAAAUUAAAUUUCAUCGAUUAAAUGUAUUUAAUUUCAUCUAUUAAUAUCAAUUAAUUGUUUAGCAAUAGAUUUGUUUUUUUGUGAAUUUUAUCUCGAAUUGUUUGAUUCCUACAAAGAAUAUCGUCUUCUAAUUUCUUCUUGAGUUCUCUACUUCUCCUGGCAAAGUUGAAGUUUGUGGUUGGGUGCCGGCUGCCAUCUUGGACCUCGCUCGUUUGAGAAGCCGGCCGCCCGUAAAAAUCUCGAGUUUGUCAAGCUCGCGCGGCCUCAGGAAUCCUAUACGCAACUUUCUUAGUAUUGCAACAAAUUUGGAAUCCUAUUGCAGUCAAAACAGUCAAAAUUUGGACACGGAAUGCUUUAGGUUUACUUUUGUCAGCACGUGUUUGUGGGUGGGCAAGUGGAAAAUUGAGAUCAAUUAGUAACGAUAAGAAUUUGGUAGUUGGCCGAGACAGUGCGGCUGUCAGUACACCAAAUAAAAACACACAUAUAAUUGAGAAAAUGGCACUACCAAGCAGAGCAAGAGUUUAUGCAGACGUGAAUUCACACAAAUCUAGGGAUUAUUGGGAUUAUGAAUCGUAUGUUGUUGAUUGGGGACAGCAAGAUGAUUAUCAGUUAGUAAGAAAACUUGGCAGAGGAAAGUAUAGUGAAGUAUUUGAAGCCAUAAAUGUAACGACCACUGAAAAAUGUGUUGUAAAGAUCUUGAAGCCUGUAAAAAAGAAGAAAAUAAAAAGGGAAAUUAAAAUCUUAGAAAAUCUUAAAGGCGGGACCAACAUAAUUACACUCCAAGCAGUUGUUAAAGAUCCAGUAUCAAGGACACCAGCACUAAUUUUUGAACAUGUCAACAACACAGAUUUCAAGCAAUUAUACCAGACUCUAACAGACUACGACAUAAGAUACUACCUCUACGAACUAUUAAAAGCACUGGACUAUUGUCACAGCAUGGGUAUAAUGCACAGAGAUGUAAAGCCGCACAAUGUCAUGAUAGACCAUGAAAACCGAAAGUUGCGGUUAAUUGAUUGGGGCCUAGCAGAAUUUUAUCAUCCUGGGCAAGAGUACAACGUUCGAGUAGCUUCACGCUAUUUUAAAGGCCCAGAACUACUUGUAGAUUAUCAGAUGUAUGACUAUUCCCUAGAUAUGUGGUCGUUGGGCUGUAUGCUCGCGAGUAUGAUUUUUAGAAAAGAACCAUUCUUUCAUGGACAUGACAAUUACGACCAACUAGUUAGAAUUGCAAAAGUUCUUGGAACCGAAGAACUAUUGGAAUAUCUUGAUAAAUACCAUAUCGAAUUAGAUCCUCGUUUUAAUGACAUAUUAGGAAGGCACUCGCGUAAGCGUUGGGAACGUUUCGUGCACUCAGAAAAUCAACAUUUAGUUUCGCCCGAAAGUCUUGAUUUUCUUGACAAACUUUUGCGUUAUGACCAUUUUGAAAGACUCACAGCACGUGAGGCUAUGGACCAUCCUUACUUUUAUCCCAUAGUAAAAGAACAGGGUCGAUUAAAUAUGGUAUCAUCAUCACCUACUCCCAUGGCAGGCUCAUUGCCUGUAGGUGAGUAGCAACCCAGAUGACCGUAGCAUGACUGUGAACAGCUUACCAGUUCAUGGAACAAACGGAUUGGGAAGUAUGGACGGAGUUACAAGUGGGGUUCUGAUGCCCUUGGAAGAACUGCGUCCACUUUUAUAAGUUCAGUAUUUCUGAACUAUACAUUAACUCCCAGUCUACAUCCUAAUACAACACAGCAACAGCAGAUAUAUUGUAUCGUCAACUACAUACUCCUCUGCACCACAAUCAUUCUGCCAAGUACUCUUUGUGCUCUGUGAAUACCUGUGCAUCCAGCAGUAGAUGCUACCGACGCUGGUCGGCCAUCAUUAUUCUACAAGAAUUAGGAAACCAUCAAUUUGGAAGUGCGAUGUAAGAUAAAUUCGAUACAGAGAUCUCAACAAUAACUGAUUAUGUACGUUUCAUCGUGGUCUUUCUCCUUUCAUAUUUAACAAAAGAUGAUGAUUUUUUUUGAAUAUUAUUAAAGUCAAAAAUAGAUUCCUCAAACAAGAUUCAAAUUAUGAAUAUGCAUGUUAUUUAGUUAAAGCAAAUACACAGGUACCUUAAAAAACUUGGCAUGAUAUAGCGCCUGACAAAACUUCAAAAUACUAUCGAUAUAAUACGCAUUAGAUCACAUCCCCAACAUGGUAUUAUAUAUGUAUGUGUAUACUUGUACAUUUGGCGCGCUGGUCCGUCUUUUAAAAAUAAUUUUAGGUUAUUGUUUUUUGAUUAUCUAGCCAACCGUCAUGUAAGCCGAUCACGUGAUUAUCUUAUGAAUAUAUUAAAGAAAAGCACACAUUCUAUAACUCGUCAAGAAAUCAAGAGGGGCAUGCUUGUAAACAAUGUACAGUAAUGAAACACACUCCACUUGCAUGCUAUGAUUUUUCGUACUAUUUUUGACAGAAUUUAUCAGUUCCUAUACAUAAUAACAAUUGUUCAUAGAAAAAGGUCAAUUGAACGUUAUUUGUACAUUUCCAUGUAAACAACGUUCACUGGUAUCAAGCGGAGUGUGAAAUUUAAAAAUCGAAAAGAAAAGGAGAAACGAAAAUUUCUCAACGUGUUAUGUACGGAAUAGCAUUCAUUUUUUUAUUCUUGUCACUGCGCCGUUUAAGCCUUAUCUUCGUGUAUUUUAAGAUACUAUACAUGUUUCUAUGUGCGUGUAUACUGUGUGUGUGUGUGUUCUGUAAGAUGCGCGCGCACGCAGCAAAAUGUAGAUGACGAAUGCAUAAACAUAGAAGAAUACAAAUUCAAAGUGAGAGAAGGUGAAAAGGUGAAAAACAAAAUAAAUAAUCCGUAUAUGCAAUGAAAGUAACUGCUAAUAACGGAUAUAUAUAUAUAUAUAUAUAUAUACACACACAUAUAUAUAUACACAUAUAUAUACAUAUAUAUACAUAUAUAUAUAUAUAUAUAUAUAUAUUUCUUCUAGGACUAUUUUAUUGCCAUUUAACGAAAUUAUCAUUAAUCGCACAUUGCGAAAGGCAUUUAAUUUUAGUCCUUUAUAAAUGGCAAAACGGCGCUAUUGUAUUAUUUCGCCCAAAAUUGAUAUCUCUCUCCCUGUUCAUAUACGUUAAGUUUAUCAUAAUCUAGUUUAGUUUUAUAGAAGAAUAUAUUAAAUAAUUACUAUUUAAAUAAGCAAAUUAACUUGAGAUAUAAUAAUAAACAAAUUGUCAACACAAAAUGACAAAUAAUAUAUUGCGCUAGCUUCUCUUUUGCAUUAUAUUAUAUAAUACAUGCUAAUUUUUGGGAUAUUAGAGUAUCCGGAAAAAAGUUACUCUAUCAUUUACUAUUACGUAGCAAUCAGUUUUCUCUUUAUUGUUCAUCCUUGUGUUUUCUUCUAAACAAUUAUUUCAAAUAACAAGUAAAAUAAAUGAGUAUUUCAUCUACCAUUUCAAUGGGAUCCUACAUUAAUAAAUAUCUUAAUCAAUUUUUUUGUAUCAAAUUCUACGAAAAAAUAAAAUAUAUGGUGAAUAUUUUUCUUUUUGGUCAUAUGUAGAAGCCACCUAAUGGUUGCUGUAAUGAAGGAUAUUUUAAUAUGGUUGAGAUAUGACAAUAAAAUUUGCCAAAGUGCACAGAA